AAUCUCAACCAUUAGGGUUUCUUAAUGGCUUGGAAUUGGGCGCUGCCACUUGCCUGGCUCGCCUUAAAAGAGUUAGCGUGUUAAACUUGUCGUAAACUGGCGUAAUAAGUUUCGCUGGUGGUAGACUUGUGAAGGACGCUUCUAAUCGUCUUCGGACACUUCUUGAA
Molecule: unclassified non-coding RNA, 167 nt
Filed under: uncultured Trichosporon
Lineage: Eukaryota; Fungi; Basidiomycota; Tremellomycetes
Also listed under: 1 other name
Description: sequence contains ITS2
Source: RNAcentral